Molecule: long non-coding RNA, 359 nt
Filed under: Phoenix dactylifera (date palm)
Lineage: Eukaryota; Viridiplantae; Streptophyta; Magnoliopsida; Arecales; Arecaceae
Description: long non-coding RNA (PDAC_LNC017830)
Source: RNAcentral
GAUCAUCCCGGGAGCAGACUAGCCUGAAGCCCCGACCGGUCGCCUCGGCUUGCGCCAGCCUUGGCCGACCAACGAGCGGAAUUUCCUGAGGCUCGGCCCUCGGAUGCCAGGCUAACCCGAUGAUCAUCCUGGGAGCAGACUAGCCUGAAGCCCCGACCGGUCGCCUCGGAUGCCUAGCGCCGGAGGAACUUCAAGAGUCAGGAGUCGGCGAGGCGCUACCGAGAGUUAAAAAGAGGAAGGAUGUCCGCCAAAAUCCGCAGGCCGCCAGAUCAGCGACAACUGCCAUACGUCGUAAAGAAGGCGGGGAGCUCGGAGCGCGCGCGCCUUUCCGAGGGAUGGCGGCAAUCUCGAAGCAUCAC